AAGCUCAGGUGGCAACAGGAUGUGUCAGAUCAAGGAAGACUGAGACUCCAGGCCAACCCUCACGGCUGGUGAAGGCCAGGGACUCAAUCACAGGAACAAGACUUCUUUUGUAGAAUUAUCCUAUGGAAUGAUAUUUUCGUAAUGAGUCAACAAGGUUACGUGGCUACACCUCCAUAUUCUCAGCCUCAGCCUGGAAUAGGCCUUUCUCCACCUCAUUAUGGGCACUAUGGGGAUCCGUCGCACACAGCAUCUCCAACAGGUAAAGUGUGUUAUUUUGACUUGUAUGCGAUUAUUCAGUUCUCAGGCUCAGAGACAAGAUGUUCUGAAAGAGGAGAUUUGAAAGCAUUGAAUGAUCAUUAUAUAAUGAAAUGGCUUGAGAUUACAGGAUCAUUUGAAAAAGGCUCUCAUAGCAGAACUCUACAUCACUAGUUUGGUUAUUGCAUGGAAUACAAGUUUGGUUUUUAAAUAUAGACUAAAACAAACACUUCCUGUUUUAUUUUUACUGUGAGUCUUGUUCUUGCUGUUAAUUAGUGGUGUAAGGCUAUUGUAAACAUUGAAU
Molecule: small RNA, 559 nt
Filed under: Pongo abelii (Sumatran orangutan)
Lineage: Eukaryota; Metazoa; Chordata; Mammalia; Primates; Hominidae
Description: processed transcript
Source: RNAcentral